CCUCCCGCGAGGGAAUUGGCCGGCUGCGAAGGAAGCGAUCCAGAGUGAAAGCUUUUUUCUCGACACACGCUUGUAAAAACCUGAGACCAAAGGGUGUCUCGGGGGACUGAUCACAAGGGACUAAAAGGGGAAGGAUACUUUCUGUCGAGCUCGGGAACUGGUAAACCCUUUUAGUAAACGGAUCUAGGUAUAGAUCCAGAAGAGGAUCAAAGGUACCGAUAACAAGAGACCUCAGCUCAGCUUGCUGAAGGGUGAGUAUCGGCAAAUUUUGAUUCCUAGGGUAAGCACGCAACGCAGAGACUGAAAUCGACUCACAGAAGAAUCGAAGACAGACUAUAGUAUGGCCUAAGGAUUUCUUCCCAAAACCCAGCAGUGAAUACCCAUUCAGGUAACAACCCUAGGCGACGCUUGCCAGCCUGAAAGAAAGAGCAGGACACAGGCAAUCAGGCUGAACAAUAAGCGGAGCCAGGCCGAGAUGCCCAUUGGCUCCGCACUGGACUUACCCUGCAAACCCUGACCAGAGAUGCAAUCAGGCUAAACAAUGAGUGGAGCCAGGCCAAGAUACCCAUCGGCUCUGCACCGGACCUGGACACAUCACCCUGAGAGCCCAACCGGAGAUACAAUCAGGAAGCACUCAGAAGCACACUUUCACAUGCAAAAGGACUCUGCCCAGUUGGUGAUUGACUCAGCUGAGGGUUCCAGGAAAUUCAUUCAACCAACCAUCUAGACUCUUUGUUGAACAGCAACUGCUCGAAGUUUGGCCUCAGGACACAAAAUCCCAAUAAAAACCCCCAGACCGCAGUCCCUUCUUUGUGGAUUUGGGAGAUCGGUACCUCUGGGUACAGAUCCCUGUCCACCCGGCGCUGCGCUGAUUUAUUUAUUGUGGUUUUUCUCUCGUCAUUUCUGAUCAAAAUUGUUUUAUAAUAAAUUGCUUUUUAUAUUAA
Long non-coding RNA from Parus major (Great Tit), 944 nucleotides. RefSeq lists it as uncharacterized. The transcript has 2 exons. The record is from RefSeq and is a predicted model, not a curated record. Lineage: Eukaryota; Metazoa; Chordata; Aves; Passeriformes; Paridae.